CCUACGCGAGGCAGCAGUGAGGAAUAUUGGUCAAUGGGCGCAAGCCUGAACCAGCCAAGUAGCGUGCGGGAUGACGGCCCUACGGGUCGUAAACCGCUUUUGCACGGGGAUAAAACCAUCCACUUGUGCAGUUCUGAAUGUACCGUGCGAAUAAGGGCCGGCUAAUUCCGUGCCAGCAGCCGCGGUAAUACGGAAGGCCCGAGCGUUAUCCGGAUUCAUUGGGAUUAAAGGUAGCGUAGGCGGGCGUUCAAGUCAGCUUUAAAAUCGCGCGGCGCAACCGCACCCCGCAGUUGAAACUGGAAGACUUGAGUUCACAACAGGCAGGCGGAAUUCGGGGUGUAGCGGUGAAA
Molecule: ribosomal RNA, 350 nt
Filed under: uncultured bacterium
Lineage: Bacteria
Description: partial 16S ribosomal RNA
Rfam family: Bacterial small subunit ribosomal RNA
Source: RNAcentral